UUGAUCCUGGCUCAGAACAAACGCUGGCGGCGUGGAUAAGACAUGCAAGUCGAACGAGACAAAGUUUGUAGCAAUACAAAUUUUGUUUAGUGGCGCACGGGUGCGUAACACGUGAGCAAUCUGCCGGGAAGUGGGGGAUAGCUCGCCAAAAGGCGAAUUAAUACCGCAUGUGGCCAGGAGGAUCAUUUCUCCAAAGCCAAAGUAGCAAUACGCUUCCUGAUGAGCUCGCGGCCUAUCAGCUAGAUGGCGGGGUAACGGCCCACCAUGGCUAUGACGGGUAGCUGGUCUGAGAGGACGACCAGCCACACUGGAACUGAGACACGGUCCAGACACCUACGGGUGGCAGCAGUCGAGAAUUUUUCACAAUGGGGGAAACCCUGAUGGAGCGACGCCGCGUGGAGGACGAAGGCCUUCGGGUUGUAAACUCCUGUCAUGCGGGAACAAGAAAGUGAUAGUACCGCAAGAGGAAGAGACGGCUAACUCUGUGCCAGCAGCCGCGGUAAUACAGAGGUCUCAAGCGUUGUUCGGAUUCAUUGGGCGUAAAGGGUGCGUAGGUGGCGAUGUAAGUCUGGUGUGAAAUCUCGGGGCUCAACCUCGAAAUUGCAUUGGAUACUGCGUUGCUUGAGGAUUGUAGAGGAGAGUGGAAUUCACGGUGUAGCAGUGAAAUGCGUAGAUAUCGUGAGGAAGACCAGUUGCGAAGGCGACUCUCUGGGCAAUUCCUGACACUGAGGCACGAAGGCCAGGGGAGCAAACGGGAUUAGAUACCCCGGUAGUCCUGGCAGUAAACGGUGCACGUUUGGUGUGGGCGGGUUCAGACCCCGUCCGUGCCGGAGCUAACGCGUUAAACGUGCCGCCUGGGAAGUACGGUCGCAAGAUUAAAACUCAAAGAA
Molecule: ribosomal RNA, 890 nt
Filed under: uncultured bacterium
Lineage: Bacteria
Description: bacterial SSU rRNA
Rfam family: Bacterial small subunit ribosomal RNA
Source: RNAcentral